Symphalangus syndactylus (siamang) is the source of this 1398-nucleotide long non-coding RNA. RefSeq lists it as uncharacterized. The record is from RefSeq and is a predicted model, not a curated record. Lineage: Eukaryota; Metazoa; Chordata; Mammalia; Primates; Hylobatidae.
AAUUUUUCCGAGAGUGUCCGCCAGGCCCGGGCCCUGCUCCUGGGCUGACUUACCUGGGACGGCACCGCCCGCAGCCAUGACUCCCGGGCUCUGAGCUCAGCGGCGCCCUAAGCGCCGGAACCGCAUCUCGGCGCCUGUGACAGUUACUGCGCCCGGGGCUGCUCCCCAAGUUGUGGGCAAGACUCCGCUCCCGAUUUCCUUUCAGCACCGAGUGUCAGACGUUGUAGUGUUUAUUCGACCGGAGGCAGGGAGGCCGCUAGUAUCCUAUCACAGCCUGACACAUUUUUGUUAAAUCAAUUGACAAAAGAACUGACACCAGAUGGCCAAUCAACUCAAGAGAAACUUUCAUGGAGACGAUAUGGUUCAAUCAUCUCUUCAAAGACUUUCCAGCUAAAAUUUGAAUUAUAAAGGAGGCCUCACAGUGGGAAACUAACUCAUUAUUUCACAGAUACUCCAGGAUAAUGAGGACAUGUGACAAAUACCAAAUUAACAUGGUGGACAUCAGAAGAGGACAUCUUGGGACAAAGGUCCAGCUUCGAAGAAAAAUAUUUUUGUAUAAAUUUUGUGUAGCCCAAGUAUACAGUGUUGAUAAAAUCUACAGUAGUGUGGUCAUGUCCUGGGGCCUCACAUUCACUCACCACUCACUGACUCACCCAGAGCAACUGCCAGUCCUGCAAGUUCCAUUCAUGGGUCUGUCGGUUCUGAAGCAAUGAUCUGAUAUUGUUUUUACAUCCCUGGGACCGAUGAGGGAGAAAAAUUUAUUUACAAAAUGGACCAAGCUCUGCCCUCACUUACAGACAAGUCAAAGCAGCCAGAGGCCUCCUGUUCACACUCAGGAACACUGAACUGUGAGUCAAAAUGUUGGGUUGAGAUCUGGCACUGACUGGCUGACACCCUGGGUCUGCCAUUUGUCCUCUCUUGAGCCACCAGCACAACACAAUGUACUUGAUAAAAGAUGCCACUGUAAACCUGAAAGGCUUUUGCGAGGUAAGACAAGCAAAUUUGAGAAAAGAGCCUUGUCUUCUAGGCUCUCCAGGGCCACCUCAAAGGCUUUGUCUAAGCUGAAGGCCAUGUAUGAAAUUCAUUCCAAGAUUUCUCAACGAACUUAAAACAGGACUAUCAUUUGACCCAGCAAUCUCUUCACUGGAAACCAACUGUAGGUACAUGGACCUUCUCAAUUUCUCUUAUAAGCAGAAGAGGACAGGGAUGUUCCCUUUGGCUUCCAUGGUGGUCCAGCCUGGAACUGUUUUCCCUAUUGUACACAGAAGAUAGUUUUCUUCUCUAAAUGUUGGGAAACCUCUUCCUUUCCUACUAUGGCAAAAGUGUGAGGCAGCCCCCAACCAGGAGGAGGUGUGUCUGCAGGCAGCAGGUAGAACCAAAGUCAGUCUCAGGAACAGC